GGAAGGAAGUUUUAGCUUUUUUCCAUUACUUCUUUUUCUGACAUUAAUAGGUCCAUUUUUUUCUGAUAUUCUAGUUUCUCCCUAGACACCUCAUCCAGUUAUUUUACUGGCUAAUAGUAAAUUCUUAUUCCAGGGCAGACACUAGCUUACUCUCUAUAGAAAGUUAAUCAAGUGCCUCAUCAAGCCUUAAUUAGACUGGAUUCAUACUCCAAAAUUCCAGGAACAAAGAGCACCCAAGGGUACGUGGCAGCUGCCUAAAAUGCAAUGAGGGGCACUGAAAUAGCCCUAAUGGCAGUGAAUAUGAUGCUCAGGAGAGGUAAAAGUCACUUUCUAUGGGUGUUGUGAUUUUAUUAGUAUAAAAAACUCCCACAAAUGCAGAUUUGCAACAGUUCUACAACUUAAAGUCUUUAGAUAGUUGCCUAGUGUACUAAGAUGUUAAGAAAAUUGCCCAGAGUCACAGAACCAGAAAUUUGCCCAGAGUCACAGAACCAGGAGAGGUCAGAGGCAGGAUUCAACUCAAGGUUUUUCUGAUUUUGCAGGCAGUUUUUUAUCCUUUAUGCUUAAAGCAAUUAUGACUCAUAAAUACCCUAUUCAUUGUACCUUGGAGGAAUAGAAGGCAACUGGAGACUCAUUGGUUCAACUCUUAUUUUACAGAUAAAGAAAUCAAGAGAAACCUGGAACAGUUAAGUAACUUUGCUAAAGUCACAUAGCUGGAAGGAGUGACUGAAGAAUCAGAAGAAGAAGCUUCUUGAACAAGAAAGAUGGUAGUAAACUUUUGAAGCCACAGGCCAGUACCAGAAGCCAGAAGAUGGCAAAAGAAGGGUGACACAAGGAUAUGAGUCAUUCAAAAAAGGAAUAUUCUGCUUGGACAGAAGUUUGCAGUUUUCCUAAAUGUUUCUGUCUCUAGAACUUGGUGAAUGUCUGUCUUAUUAUUGCUUGGUGUACUGGCAUCAUUUAUUUGCAGAAGUUUCUUGUUCUCUCUAAACUUUAUUUGUUGUAUGUUCUUACGUAAUAGGUCUUGUCUCCAGAUAAAAAUAAACUGAUCUUUACUGCAU
This is a long non-coding RNA of Sarcophilus harrisii (Tasmanian devil), 1055 nucleotides long. RefSeq lists it as uncharacterized. Lineage: Eukaryota; Metazoa; Chordata; Mammalia; Dasyuromorphia; Dasyuridae. The record is from RefSeq and is a predicted model, not a curated record. The transcript is spliced from 2 exons.